UACAGAGGGGGCAAGCGUUGUUCGGAAUUACUGGGCGUAAAGGGCGCGUAGGCGGCCUGUUAAGUCGAACGUGAAAUCCCCGGGCUCAACCCGGGAACUGCGUCCGAUACUGGCAGGCUUGAAUCCGGGAGAGGGAUGCGGAAUUCCAGGUGUAGCGGUGAAAUGCGUAGAUAUCGCUUGGAACGCCAACGGUGAAAACAGACUGCUGGGGGUGUGCUGACGCUGAGACACGAAAGCCAGGGGAGCGAACGGG
RNAcentral lists this ribosomal RNA (253 nucleotides) under uncultured bacterium. RNAcentral's name for it is "partial 16S ribosomal RNA". It matches the Rfam family "Bacterial small subunit ribosomal RNA", at positions 524 to 776 of the family's 1533-position model. The record is from RNAcentral.